Molecule: ribosomal RNA, 400 nt
Filed under: uncultured bacterium
Lineage: Bacteria
Description: bacterial SSU rRNA
Rfam family: Bacterial small subunit ribosomal RNA
Source: RNAcentral
GGGGAAUAUUGGACAAUGGGCGCAAGCCUGAUCCAGCCAUGCCGCGUGAGUGAUGACGGCCCUAGGGUUGUAAAGCUCUUUUACCCGGGAAGAUAAUGACGGUACCGGGAGAAUAAGCCCCGGCUAACUUCGUGCCAGCAGCCGCGGUAAUACGAAGGGGGCUAGCGUUGUUCGGAAUUACUGGGCGUAAAGCGCACGUAGGCGGAAAUUUAAGUCAGGGGUGAAAUCCCGAGGCUCAACCUCGGAACUGCCUUUGAUACUGGGUUUCUUGAGUCCGGAAGAGGUGAGUGGAACUGCGAGUGUAGAGGUGAAAUUCGUAGAUAUUCGCAAGAACACCGGUGGCGAAGGCGGCGACCUGGUCCUUGACUGACGCUGAGGCGCGAAAGCGUGGGGAGCAAAC